UGGGAAAAAUCCCAUGGAUGUGGCCAUUUUGGCUGAACAAGAGG
Methanobrevibacter cuticularis is the source of this 44-nucleotide regulatory RNA element. It matches the Rfam family "eL15-Euryarchaeota ribosomal protein leader". NCBI's taxonomy places the organism in Archaea, Methanobacteriati, Methanobacteriota, Methanobacteria, Methanobacteriales, Methanobacteriaceae. The record is from Rfam.